Molecule: ribosomal RNA, 429 nt
Filed under: uncultured bacterium
Lineage: Bacteria
Description: bacterial SSU rRNA
Rfam family: Bacterial small subunit ribosomal RNA
Source: RNAcentral
UAGGGAAUCUUCGGCAAUGGACGAAAGUCUGACCGAGCAACGCCGCGUGAGUGAAGAAGGUUUUCGGAUCGUAAAACUCUGUUGUUAGAGAAGAACAAGUGGGAGAGUAACUGUUCCCACCUUGACGGUAUCUAACCAGAAAGCCACGGCUAACUACGUGCCAGCAGCCGCGGUAAUACGUAGGUGGCAAGCGUUGUCCGGAUUUAUUGGGCGUAAAGCGAGCGCAGGCGGUUUCUUAAGUCUGAUGUGAAAGCCCUCGGCUCAACCGAGGAAGGUCAUUGGAAACUGGGGAACUUGAAUGCAGAAGAGGAGAGUGGAAUUCCAUGUGUAGCGGUGAAAUGCGUAGAUAUAUGGAGGAACGCCAGUGGCGAAGGCGACUCUCUGGUCUGUAAUUGACGCUGAGGCUCGAAAGCGUGGGGAGCAAACAGG